This 277-nucleotide ribosomal RNA is filed under the name uncultured prokaryote. Its description in RNAcentral is "partial 16S ribosomal RNA". It matches the Rfam family "Bacterial small subunit ribosomal RNA", at positions 524 to 800 of the family's 1533-position model. The record is from RNAcentral.
CACGGGGGUUGCGAGCGUUGUCCAGAAUUACUAGGCGUAAAGGGCAGGCAGGCGGAUCCAUAAGUUUAUCGUUUAAGGCGUCGGCUUAACCGGCGUAGGGCGGUAGAUACUGUGGAUCUGGAAUGCGGUUGGGGAAGACAGAAUUCCUGGUGUAGCGGUGGAAUGCGCAGAGAUCAGGAGGAAUACCGAAGGCGAAGGCAGUCUUCCAAGCCGUUAUUGACGCUCAACUGCGAAGGUGUGGGUAUCAAACAGGAUUAGAUACCCGCGUAGUCCCUGA